UACGGGGGGGGGCAAGCGUUGUUCGGAAUUACUGGGCGUAAAGGGCUCGUAGGCGGCCCUCUCAGUCGGAUGUGAAAUCCCCAGGCUCAACUUGGGAACGGCAUCCGAUACUGGAGGGCUUGAAUUCGGGAGAGGGAUGCAGAAUUCCAGGUGUAGCGGUGAAAUGCGUAGAUAUCGUAAGGAAAACCAGUGGCGAAGGCGAGUCUCUGGACAGUUACCGACGCUGAGGCACGAAGGUCAGGGGAGCAAACAGG
RNAcentral lists this ribosomal RNA (254 nucleotides) under uncultured bacterium. RNAcentral's name for it is "partial 16S ribosomal RNA". It matches the Rfam family "Bacterial small subunit ribosomal RNA", at positions 524 to 776 of the family's 1533-position model. The record is from RNAcentral.